Molecule: ribosomal RNA, 442 nt
Filed under: Profunditerebra brazieri
Lineage: Eukaryota; Metazoa; Mollusca; Gastropoda; Neogastropoda; Terebridae
Description: Hastula brazieri partial 16S ribosomal RNA
Rfam family: Bacterial large subunit ribosomal RNA
Source: RNAcentral
UUUUUUAACGGCCGCGGUACUCUGACCGUGCAAGGGUAGCAUAAUCAUUUGCCUUAUAAGUGAGGGCUAAUGUGAAUGGUUUGACGAGAAUACGACUGUCUCUUUGCAAUUUAAUAAAAUUUUAUCUUUAUGUGAAAAAGCCUUAAUUGAAUUAAAAGACAAAAAGACCCUAUCGAGCUUUAAAAGAAUUGGUGGAUUUGAUUUUUAUUUAUAAAAAAUAUGGCUUUCUAACUUUUUGGUUGGGGCGACUACCGAACAUAAAAAGCUUCCUUUACAUACGUGUUGAUCCAUGAUUAAAGAAAUUAGUUACCGUAGGGAUAACAGCAUUAUCCCUUUUGAGAGUUCUAAUCGAAAAAGGGGUUUGUGACCUCGAUGUUGGACCAGAAUGUCCUAAAGAUGCAGAAGUCUUUAAGGGUUGGUCUGUUCGACCAUUAAAAUUCUA